AUGUCUCACGAAUUUAAUUUCUCUAAAUUUAGUAGACAACACCAUGAAGAAGAAUUACCUAGUAAGGAUGAAAUUAUUGGUCUUGCUUCUAUUGCUGUACCUCCUAGUGAUCCUUUAGAACAAUAUUUGCUAGACCAUGAAAAUGAUAUGUUUAUGAAUGAAAGAAGGGAAAUAGAUGAAGUAUUCUUCAAACAGGAACCUAUUCUGAAACACAAUUUGCCUGUUGAAAUCCUAGGGGGUCCUCCUCCACCCAAGGGUGAUCCCAUGUUUGAGCUUAAACCGUUGCCUGAUACUCUUAAAUAUACUUAUCUUGAUGAGAAAAGGAUAUAUCCUGUUAUUAUUAGUGCUAACCUUUCAGAGCAUGAGGAAGAGAGAUUAUUGAAAACUCUAAAGAAACACCAUGCUGCUAUUGGGUAUACUCUUGAUGAUCUUAAGGGCAUUAGUCCUACUCUAUGUCAACAUAAAAUAAAUUUGGAAGAAGAUGCUAAACCAGUUCGUGAUCAUCAAUGA
RNAcentral lists this ribosomal RNA (510 nucleotides) under Triticum aestivum (bread wheat). RNAcentral describes it as "partial small subunit ribosomal RNA". Lineage: Eukaryota; Viridiplantae; Streptophyta; Magnoliopsida; Poales; Poaceae. The record is from RNAcentral.